GCGAAAGUGGCGGAAUUGGCAGACGCGCAUGGUUCAGGGUCAUGUGCCUUACCGGCGUAGGGGUUCGAGUCCCCUCUUUCGCACCA
Molecule: transfer RNA, 86 nt
Filed under: Halanaerobiales bacterium
Lineage: Bacteria; Bacillati; Bacillota; Clostridia; Halanaerobiales
Description: tRNA-Leu
Rfam family: tRNA
About the family: Transfer RNA (tRNA) molecules are approximately 80 nucleotides in length.
Source: RNAcentral